RNAcentral lists this ribosomal RNA (222 nucleotides) under uncultured Glomeromycotina. Its description in RNAcentral is "partial 18S ribosomal RNA". The stretch from base 46 to 222 matches the Rfam family "Eukaryotic small subunit ribosomal RNA", at positions 693 to 872 of the family's 1831-position model. The record is from RNAcentral. Lineage: Eukaryota; Fungi; Glomeromycota.
GGAUCAAUAUAUUGGUCAUGCUUAGGUAUGUACUGGUAUUAUUGAUUUCUCCCUUCUGAAGAACCAUGAUGUCAUUAAUUUGAUGUCGUGGGGAAUCAGGACUGUUACUUUGAAAAAUUAGAGUGUUUAAAGCAGGCUUUCGCUUGAAUACAUUAGCAUGGAAUAAUGAAAUAGGACGUUUGAUUCUAUUUUGUUGGUUUCUAGGAUCGACGUAAUGAUUAA